Molecule: long non-coding RNA, 1868 nt
Organism: Cygnus olor (mute swan)
Lineage: Eukaryota; Metazoa; Chordata; Aves; Anseriformes; Anatidae
Exons: 3
Source: RefSeq, a predicted model, not a curated record
GGGGCGGGAGACGGGGCUGGGGUGGGGGGAGAGACCCUCGACGGCCGGGCCGGCAAGAAAUACAGAUGCAAAAGCAAGACACGGGUAAAUGACAGAAGUGUUGUUCCUGCAAGCAGAGCAUCCUGUCUCCAAGACAGAAAUUGCUUUAAGCACAAGCCAAGACAGAAGGCUCGACUGGUCCUCUCUGUUGAAACUGGGCACCUGUACCAUCCACUGAAAAGGUCAGUCAUAGAAAUCAUAGAAUCAUAGAAUAUCCGAGUUAGAAGGGAUCCACAAGGAUCCUUUUGAAAUACUAGGAUCUUCAGGAGCUACAACAGAAAAUGCAUAAAUUAACAAAACAUUACAGAAAAGAGAGGGGUCUAAAACAAACCUCAGUGUGUUAAGAUGCUUAACAUCCAUCUAAAUUCAAUGACAAAGUGGGCUUACUUUCUUGAGGCUCUUUUUGAGUGAUCUGAGGCUUAGGAGUGGGGCUUGUUUGUGUUUGUGCUGUAAAAUGUGUAUUUGGAGGAGAGCAGUUUUUCUUCGAGUCAUUUAAUAAUCCAUAAUAAUAUACAACAUAGAGGAAAAGAAUGGCUACAAUUUUGUUAGUCUGCAGUUUUCUGAAUGACCACAUUAUAAACGAAUGGCAGGAAACAAUCAUAUGCCACCCAUUCAGUAGAUCAUUUGCUAUUUUAUCUUGUCUGAAGCUGAAUUUAAACUGACCUGAAGAGAAGCAGUUAUGUGUCUUGAAAUCUGGCGAACAGUAGAUUAUUGUUGCCAAUGUAGAUUAUUUGGUGAAAUCUACAGGCACCACUUUAAUUCAAUGCUAUUGAAAAGUUUCAGUGUCUGGGAGAGUAAAUUGAGACUCCCUGUUGUAAAUAAACUUGGAGAAGUUAUAAACAGCAGCCAGGGAAGAAAAAAAAUAGUCAUAGUGAAUAGCAGGAGAACGGACAAAAAAUUAAAUCUGGAAAAAAUGAAACAUAUGCAGAAGAAAAAGGGACGUGCAUUCAUCAGGUGGAAGACAUGGAAGGCAAUGCAGUACUGAAAGAAAUCACAAGUAUAGCAUGAGGGAUAGCAGUGUCACACAUCAAGAAAACAAAGCUCUUUCGAGCUGUUAUACAAAGGUCAUCACUCCAGAACAGAUAUGAUGGUGUACUUUGGAACCGGGGGAAAUUUGGCUUGAAGGAAUGUCAAAAACUAACCAAAUCCUUUCCUGUUUCUCUAUGUGGGAACUACUGUAUCUAACUUAUUCCCAAAUUCUUCAAUAAUAGUCUUCUUCAAAAAUGCAAAAUUCUACAGGUCAUCUUAUUAUGUUUCAGUGCACGCAACAAAGCAGCCUCAGACUCACAAAAUUUCAGACAAAACUAAAUCAGAAUGUGUUCCAGGAGUGCAUCUAAUGAACUCUAACCAGUACAGACAUCCAGUUUGUUGGAUCAACCUAGAACUAUUCCAAAAUAAAGUUCUUACAUCACACAUAAUCAUGGAUAUUAAGCCCUUGGUACCAACCUUUUUGCUCUACAUCUCCUGUUUUGCAUUCACUCCACACUCUUAUUAGGCCACUCUACUUGCUAACAUAGCUACAGCUGCUGUCAAACAUUCACUUGAAGAACAGCAAAAGCUGUGAUGGCCUGGAGGACCUGGUUUAUUGGGAAAAAGCAGGCCAGACACACUAAAAGGGCAAAAGGAUUUGUAUAGCAUCAUUUUCCUUGGUCCCUUUGACAUUAAACAGUUAUGCUCAUGCAGCUGUGCAGCCCUUUCUUUUAUAUCAGACCAGUGGCACCCCAGGCUGGUCAGCUCAAGGACACAAAAGUGAAUUGCAAUAGCUAACAAUUGCAUAGACUUUCAGAAUGUAAGAUUUUAAUUUGGUAUCUCAGAACAUAACCAAGAAU